Cynoglossus semilaevis (tongue sole) is the source of this 4918-nucleotide RNA transcript. It is a transcript of the gene named coiled-coil domain containing 9, with no coding region annotated. NCBI's taxonomy places the organism in Eukaryota, Metazoa, Chordata, Actinopteri, Pleuronectiformes, Cynoglossidae. The transcript has 16 exons. The record is from RefSeq and is a predicted model, not a curated record.
AAAAAUUUGGAUUAGGCUCUGUAUUUUGCAGGAAGUUAGCAACAGCCAACAGGAAGCCGAAUAAUAAGAACAGUUUGAGGUGCAGAAACUGGCAAAGACCCGCGAGUCCAAAAUAGUAUUGUACUCUUUGUACGACUCCUUUAAAAGGAGGACUGCUUCAUCUGCUAGCUGUUUAUAGAGAAAUUUCAAAGACAAAUAUGUCUUCAGUUGUAGAUCUCAAGACCAAGGAGGAAAAAGAUGCAGAGCUGGACAGGCGAAUAGAAGCUUUGAGAAAGAAAAAUGAGGCUCUGGUCAAAAGAUACCAGGAAAUCGAAGAGGACAAGAAGAAAGCAGAGCAGGAGGGUAUCGCUGUGACCACACCACGGAAACCACGUCCACAUGAGCCAGAGACGGACAGGAGGAAGACGGAGAAGGAAAACUUCACCGUUACAGUUGAUCUGUCCAAACCGGCAGGGGAGAAGAGAGUUGUGAAUGAUUGGAAAUCUGGACCCCCUCGUGGUUCCAGAAGCUCUGAGGAUAGUGAUGGCCAGAAAGGGCAAAACGAUGGUCACAGUCCCCCCAGAAGGACAGGAUCAGGUAGACUCGGUAGAGGGGGACAGAGAGGAGGAGGAAGAGGAGGUGGAGGCGGAGGUCGCCAAGAAAGGAGAGAGGGUGAAGUGAGGACUCCCAGAAGUGGAGAAUUUGUAGAAUCAGCAGAACAGAGACGCAGAGGAGGAAGGAGAGGGAGAGGAGGUGGAGGUGGAGGUGGAGGCGGAGGCGGAGGUGGAGGCGGAGGUGGAGGCGGAGAAGGAGCAACACCAGGUGGCAUCGACAGAAAAUCCAAGGAGUGGGAAGAGAAGAGGAGACAGAACAUAGAGAAGAUGAAUGAAGAAAUGGAGAGAAUAGCCGAGUACGAGAGAGGACAGCGGGUGGAUGGUGAUAAACCCAUACGCAACUUCCUGGAUGAUCCAAGACGCUCUGGUCCAGCACCUGACCUAGAUCGAAAGGACGGCAGCAGGAGACAUGUGCGGAACUGGGGAGGACUCGACUUUGACAACGUUAAGACAGGAGCUGAACUGGAGAAAGAGUGGACUAGUCGAAGGCCAGGACCCAAAGGUUCUGUGGACAUGACGAUGUCAAUGACCGGCCGGGAGAGAGCAGAGUACCUGCGCUGGAAGAAGGAACGUGAACAGAUUGAUGAGGAAAGACUAGCUCGCCAUCGUAAUGCAACAGGCCAAUGGAGACGGGAGUGGGACGCCCAAAAGACGGACAACAUGUUCAAAGAGGACCCAAAUGUGGCUACGGAGGGCGUCACAUCUGAGCCAGGCAGCAAGAGAGAUGACAGUAAGCGGCCACCUAAGGUACCCACAUUUGGUGACUUCCUGUCACAGGGCAGGACGCCGGGCGGUCGAGGGGACAGGAGCAGAGGGAAGGGCCGAGGACAGAAGCCGAGCUACAGCAUGCAUGACAACCGCUGGGAAGGAGACAAAGAAGAGGAGAAGGAGAAAGAAAAGGAGGACAAGCCAAAGAGAGAGGAGAAGACAAAACCCGCUAAAAAGGAAGAAAAACCCAAAUCCCCUACGACCCAGCAGGUGGAGGUGAGUAACAAAGAUGGAGAGGAGGAUGAAGAGGACUGGGAGGACGCUACCAGUGAUGAAGAUGAAGAAAUAGAGAGCGACUCGGAACACGGUUCUGAGAAGAAAGACACGGUGAAAGAAAAAACAACCAAGAGCAAAGACCACUCCCCAGUGUCUCCAACGUCUCGCUCUGGACCGUCCUCUUCACCCAGCCCCAAAGAGCAGCGGACUCCCAGGCCCAAGGUCUACAUCCCUCCUCCAUCUAUGGCUCAGGACUCAACUGAGGGAGGAAAACCGCUCAGCCCCUUCUCACCACUGGACGGCCACAGGCCGGUGACAGACUGGGGGGAGGAGAUGGAGAUGGUGUCGCCACGGAGCAGCAUGGGAGGUGAAAGUCCCCUGAAGCCCUCCAGCACGGAAUCUAGUCCACCCCAGAAGAAGAACCAAGAGGAGGAGCACAAGGAGGAGGAGAAGAAGGAGGAGAAGAAGGAGGAGGAGAGGGAGACAAAGAGCCACACUUUUGUAUCCACUGAAACUACUGAACCAAAACUGGAAGACAAAACUGCCACAGAGGUUUCUUCUCCUUCUGAAACGGUUGAGCCAGAACCAGCGUCUCUGCCCCCUGACACUGUGGCUGUCGUGUCAACUGAUGCCGUACCCUCUGAUAUUUCUGUACAAGAUGCCCCCGUCAUCAGUGAUGCUCCUGUGUCAGAGAACCAGGAAACACCUGCUCCUCCCUUGAAAAUAGAUGAACCAGAAACAGCUCCCUCUGCUGCCGACCAGGAAACUGAGCAAGGCACACCUCCGGCUUCACAUCAAGCAGUGGGUAAAGAUGAGGAGACGGUGCCUGCUGAGACCGACGCUGACCCGACAGCAGCAGCUGAGUCCUCUGACCACACGUCCUCAGCAGCAGAGAAGCUGAAUGGGCAUUCCAGAGUCUCCUGAAGACUCCCCCUCAGGGCCCUGAGCUCCAGAUUGUGCACACGUGUCUGCUUCCAUGAUUUCCUUUGGUGGAAAAAGACUGAAGCUGCGGAAGUCAAACACUCUGCUCCGUCUGAGCCUAAUGCAGAGAUGAGAGGAACGGGGGAAACGUUUGAGCAGCGCCACCAUCCUCUUCACGGAGCGGCUGUCACACAUGUAAAUACAUUUGAAGGUCAUUGAAGAGGGACGUCUGUCAGAUCUUUAUACCAGUGGAGUCUGAUCACCAAAACUAUUGAUUAUUACCAAUAUAUCCAAAUAGACAUAUCACAGUGUUGUGAAACAGUGUUUUUUUGCAUAAGUUAAAACUCUGUCCUUUGGCACAAAAUUAUACAAAACCAAAAGUACAGUGUUGGUCUGACUAUAUCCAGACUUUUCACAACACACAACAGUGGCAACCAGUCAGUUGUUGAUCACAUCAACUCUGAAGUUUUGUUGCCGUCCAAUUGCAAAUGUCAGGGAACAAGGUGUCGGCUCUCGCUUAGUCUACAGACCCAGGAUUCACUUCAGAAAUAUAAAUUAAUUUGCCACAAAGACGGUAAAAAUGAAUGCUGAGCCAACGCUAGAGCAGGGGUCAGUCAUAUUCAGGCCGAGGUGUUAGAUGGAGCAGGGUCUCCCCAAAAUGUAUGUUUUAUAAUGUUGGGUUGAACAUUGAACUGGGCCUCGUGUCAUGUAGAAAUGUACCUUAUUAUUUUUAUUUCAAUGCUAAACUACACAACAGAUACACAGAUACAGGUAGUGAUGUUGUUGGGGGUGGGUGGGCCGGGGUGUUACGUCCUUUUGAAGACAACUGCUCUACAAGUAAACACACCUUUAAAUCAUAAGUAGCAUAAUUACUAAGUCCUAAAUUUUUGGUGCACUCAGAGAAUAUGUCGUGUCAUUUAAUCUCCUCAGUGACUCAGUCAUAACGUGGGAUUAUUGUGUCUCCAGACAGAUUAAAAAUGUUGUUUAGUCUGUGCUGCAGUCCAAACAUUGAAACACCUGACAUCACCGCUGUUCUGAACACACACUAAAUGUGUCAUCCUCUGUUUCUGAGCAGGUCGACCCGUGACUGUGAUGUCAUUUGUGAACAGAGCGGUCAUAAAAGCUUCAGUCUCUCUGACCUUUGGUCUUUCAGCUUUAAGUCCUGUGUGACUCUUCUAUCUCAGUUGUUUUGUAUGGCAGUAUUAGUCUGCGGGCUCCACUCUGCAGCCUGUUCAACCCUUGGGUUUUUAUGUAUCGAAAUCCCUUUGAUAUAGACCUCUUUUAAACACUUAAUGUUUUAUUGUUCGCAGAGCUUUAUUUUAAAUUUAGUUGAAGCUUUAAGUGUCAUUUAAAGCCAUUUACGUUAGAUUCACAUUUUACUCAGACAGAACAAUCUGUGACCUCUUUAAAACCUCCUGCUCAGACACCGGCUCUGAGCAGUCGGACCGUUUGUUAUUGCAAUCCAGUGUCGCAGAAAAUAUAAUAUUUUCCGUUGAUGGAUUCUGAGCUGCAGUCCAUUUUUUUUCUCCGUCCCUUUCUUCUCAGAAAACACCGCCUGUCAAACAGACAGAUUGUUUUAUAAACACAGGGAAAAUAACUGUGACUGUGAUUGACUGGUGAUGAUGAAUCUGAGUGGGAACAACUGACCAAACACAACGGCAGUUACUGAAAGACCUCAAAUGACUCAACUUGGUGAUUAGUCAGUCAACUAAGACACAUCUCAUUGGUCAACACUGGACCAGGUAUUUAUGUAUGUUUGAAUUCGGCAGAUAUGUGUCACAGCAUCAAGAAACCCCAAGAGGUUCAUUUGAGAAGUGCAGAUUAAUUCAACACACAAACACAUAGACCCUUCAGCCUGUUCCUUGAAUGCUGAUUUUUGACCCACAUGUUGUCAUCGAUAUGUUUAGAUUUUUGAUUUCUCAAUCUCCGCUCACAAAAGGCUUUCGUUUGUUUUGGUUCUUUGAGUCCGCUGUUCAGUUACCAGACGCUUCAGUGGUUUCUUUGUUGCAUGAAGUCUGAUGUAAAUUACAGGGAAUGCCUUCGAUGUAAGAGGAAUCUGCAAUAUGUACAGUUCUGGAAGAAAACAUUCCACAGUUGUGUCCCUGUGCAGAAUGUAGCCUUUGAGCUAUGAGAGAAAAAAAACAGUUUUCCACAUGAAUGUUUGGAUGACAGAGUGUAUUUAAAGGUAGUUAUUUCAUUGUACUUUACUUUCUACAAUGUUCUUCAGGAAGUUGCUGCCAUGAUUUGCUCUUCUUGUUGUGCAGCUGUGUUCAUGGAAUGAUCAGGACAAGCAUGAAUCCUCAACCGUAGCUUUUUACAGAGAUGUCUGUCGGAUGGAAUCACCGUCAGCUGUAAAGCCCGUCGGUGCUUUGUUGUUUGUUUUUCUUAAAUUAGUCAAUAAAUAUGUUUCUCUGAUGGUU